This 432-nucleotide long non-coding RNA is filed under the name Malus domestica (apple). Its description in RNAcentral is "long non-coding RNA (MDOM_LNC001997)". The record is from RNAcentral. Lineage: Eukaryota; Viridiplantae; Streptophyta; Magnoliopsida; Rosales; Rosaceae.
UUUAAACCCUGAGUUUUCUAGAUCCUUUGCCUUACUACCAACCCACUUAGUUUCUUGUAGGCACAUAAUAUUUAUCCUUCUCCUCACCAUAACUUCCACUACUUCCAUAGAUUUUCCCGUUAAGGUUCCUAUAUUCCACGUUCCUAAACGCAUUUUGCUCUCUUGAACUCUACCCUUCUGUCCUAGCUUCUUCACCCUCCCCCGUCUAAUAGGAUCAAAGUACUUCUUUUGUGUGUCCCGGGUAAAGUUGAUAGGAGCAUAUGCUCCUAAACAACUUUGAGUGGAGUCGUUCGAAAAGAAGUUUCUAUGGCCCCCUUGCUCAUUUAACACUGCAUCCGGGUGCCGAUGGAGAUACAGCGACCCUUGCUCACUUAUCACUGUGCUCGGGCCACACAGCGUGCCACUUACGGGUGACGCCCUAGCUUUAGCGCG